RNAcentral lists this ribosomal RNA (497 nucleotides) under uncultured bacterium. Its description in RNAcentral is "partial 16S ribosomal RNA". It matches the Rfam family "Bacterial small subunit ribosomal RNA", at positions 28 to 507 of the family's 1533-position model. The record is from RNAcentral.
GAUGAACGCUGGCGGCGUGCCUAAUACAUGCAAGUCGAGCGAACAGACGAGGAGCUUGCUCCUCUGACGUUAGCGGCGGACGGGUGAGUAACACGUGGAUAACCUACCUAUAAGACUGGGAUAACUUCGGGAAACCGGAGCUAAUACCGGAUAACAUGUUGAACCGCAUGGUUCAACAGUGAAAGACGGUCUUGCUGUCACUUAUAGAUGGAUCCGCGCCGCAUUAGCUAGUUGGUAAGGUAACGGCUUACCAAGGCAACGAUGCGUAGCCGACCUGAGAGGGUGAUCGGCCACACUGGAACUGAGACACGGUCCAGACUCCUACGGGAGGCAGCAGUAGGGAAUCUUCCGAAAUGGGCGAAAGCCUGACGGAGCAACGCCGCGUGAGUGAAGAAGGUCUUCGGAUCGUAAGACUCUGUUAUUAGGGAAGAACAAAUGUGUAAGUAACUAUGCACGUCUUGACGGUACCUAAUCAGAAAGCCACGGCUAACUACGUG